ACUCCUACGGGAGGCAGCAGUAGGGAAUCUUCCACAAUGGACGAAAGUCUGAUGGAGCAACGCCGCGUGAACGAUGAAGGCCUCGGUCGUAAAGUUCUGUUGUAAGGGAAGAACAAGUGCCGCAGGCAAUGGCGGCACCUUGACGGUACCUUGCGAGAAAGCCACGGCUAACUACGUGCCAGCAGCCGCGGUAAUACGUAGGUGGCAAGCGUUGUCCGGAAUUAUUGGGCGUAAAGCGCGCGCAGGCGGCCUCUUAAGUCUGAUGUGAAAGCCCCCGGCUCAACCGGGGGAGGGCCAUUGGAAACUGGGAGGCUUGAGUAUAGGAGAGAAGAGUGGAAUUCCACGUGUAGCGGUGAAAUGCGUAGAGAUGUGGAGGAACACCAGUGGCGAAGGCGACUCUUUGGCCUAUAACUGACGCUGAGGCGCGAAAGCGUGGGGAGCAAACA
This 446-nucleotide ribosomal RNA is filed under the name uncultured bacterium. Its description in RNAcentral is "bacterial SSU rRNA". It matches the Rfam family "Bacterial small subunit ribosomal RNA", at positions 335 to 774 of the family's 1533-position model. The record is from RNAcentral.